AUCUAUCAACCCAACUGAGAUGUAAUCUUGUGUUUGGUGCUUGGAUGAUGAAGGUUGCUGGAGUCAACAUCAGCUCCUUUUAAAUGCAUUAGCAGAACUUUGUAUCAGCUUUGGUUUGAUAAUAAUUUUAUCUGAGCCGUUGCUGAUAAGCAAUAGUUUAGCUUACAAUUGUCUCAUUUGAGACUGUCCAACUUUUGGGCAUUAUU
RNAcentral lists this unclassified non-coding RNA (206 nucleotides) under Hodophilus foetens. RNAcentral's name for it is "internal transcribe spacer 2". The record is from RNAcentral. Lineage: Eukaryota; Fungi; Basidiomycota; Agaricomycetes; Agaricales; Clavariaceae.